Molecule: ribosomal RNA, 253 nt
Filed under: uncultured bacterium
Lineage: Bacteria
Description: partial 16S ribosomal RNA
Rfam family: Bacterial small subunit ribosomal RNA
Source: RNAcentral
UACGUAGGGUGCGAGCGUUGUCCGGAAUUAUUGGGCGUAAAGAGCUCGUAGGCGGUCUGUCGCGUCGAAUGUGAAAACCCGGGGCUCAACUCCGGGCUUGCAUUCGAUACGGGCAGGCUAGAGUUCGGUAGGGGAGUCUGGAAUUCCUGGUGUAGCGGUGAAAUGCGCAGAUAUCAGGAGGAACACCGGUGGCGAAGGCGGUUCUCUGGGCAUGUCCUGACGCUGAGGAGCGAAAGUGUGGGGAGCGAACAGG